GAAUGGCGUUGAGGCGGUCAGAUUAGGCCGGGCUGGCUCACACGAGGGUCCCGGGCUUGGCUUUUUCCUGCCCGUACCACUGGACAUCAGCUAGUUCUGGAUAGAGGGAGGAAUCCAGGAAACAGCUAUCAUUGUAGCUCCUAUGGGAGGCCCAAGAAAGGAGAUGAGACAGUUAGUGGAGGAGGAUGGGUUCAGCCAGGCCUGCACUGAGAAGGAUGUGUUCACCUUGACAGGGCCCUGUGCUAAUCACGAGUCUUUCCUGUUCAGAGCAGUGAGGCCUGAGACCCUCAACAGUGCUGUGUGUACAGAAGGCCCCCAGAAUCCACACAAAGGGGCCGCCUGAAACCUAGAGCAUUUGUGAAGGAGGAAAAUGGAAGGAACAACUGGAUGUUGUAAAUGUUUCUCAUCUGGCCUUAAAAUCCAUGAAAGCUGGAAAAUCACAAGGCAUCUGUGCACAUACUGGUGGAUUUUAAUGAGAGUCCUGUGUUUGGAGCACCAGAAAUAAACCAGCUUCAGAAGCAAAAACUAGGAGGAGGAAGCAGAGCUAGAGAUGGAAGGAGACCCAGCCAGCCCGGGCUCCAGUGACAUCGGCUGGUACACGCUUUUGUUUGCUUACGCUUGUUGAACUGAGUUUUUCAUAUGUAACUAACGAAUAGUGGCACAUGUGAGACUGGGCAUGAUUCAGAAAAGUUGGAAGAUCUAGAGAGGGAUCUUGCAAUCUGAAGUUUCUUGUUUAGUCACUGGAGGAUCUGAACGUCUAUGACACUCUUUCGAGCUGACACAGUGAAGAACAUGGAAGGAGAACUCACCCAGUCU
RNAcentral lists this small RNA (816 nucleotides) under Pan troglodytes (chimpanzee). Its description in RNAcentral is "retained intron". The record is from RNAcentral. Lineage: Eukaryota; Metazoa; Chordata; Mammalia; Primates; Hominidae.